This 959-nucleotide unclassified non-coding RNA is filed under the name Hevea brasiliensis (rubber tree). Lineage: Eukaryota; Viridiplantae; Streptophyta; Magnoliopsida; Malpighiales; Euphorbiaceae. The record is from RNAcentral.
ACUCAAACACUGUAAUAAAAUUUUUUAAAUUGGACUUAAUCCUGUUAAAAGAAAAUUUUAAUAACAAAUUCUCUCCCUCUCCCCAUCUCUUCCUCUACAAACAACACAUAAAUUACAAAUGAGAGAGGGAGAUUUAACAAUGCAAUAAACAAAUAUUCUAACAUAAACAAAUAUAAAUUUCAAAAGAAGACCCUUUCAAAAUUCUACAACUAUGUAUUAUUUCUACAACUCAGAUACAUUAAUAUGGACUAAACUAUCACAUUUAAAUCAUUAAAAUGAUUGCUAAAAUCAAACAUUUUAUAGAGAGAUCUAAAAUUGUAAAGACAAAUCAGGUUUACUAGAAUAACACACUUAACUAGACAAUUGAUUCGGUGGCUCACUCUUGCCUGCCAAAUAGACUUUGGAUUGCAUCUUCAGCUACCUCCUUUAAGUGUUGCAAAUCUUCACCUACUAAUAGACAUAAGUCUUGAUAUGGGUUGCAUGCUACUCGUAUAACCAAGUAGAUCCAUAAACUUAGAAGUAACACACCAUAGAUGGGAACAUGAAUCAAAGCCGAUAGCACAAUUACCUUACAACCAAAUAGGAGACAAAUAUUUCUAGCACAUGUUCUAUAAUUUAAGUUGGGAUGAGUUUGGAGUACAUGUUCAAAUGCCAUAGCUAUUGCAUAGUUGAUCAGAGUGACCACCAACAUCUUCUUUUUCCAAGAUAGCUGAUCUCCGAGGGAAAACAAUAUUUGAAAGAUAGAUAAUAAUAUUGCAUUAUAUGUCCUGAUUUAUAUGUAUAGAAAAGAAGAGAGAGGAGGAGGAUAUUAAAAAUAGUUAGUUUAAAGAGUAAAAUGUAGAGAUAAACAAAAGCAAUGGAAAAAGUUCGUAUCUUCCGAAGGAAAACAAAAGCAAGCAACAGCAAGGUUCACAGCACAUUUAUCACAUUCAACGUCAAGGUUCAAGCAUCACAAGGCA